This 69-nucleotide transfer RNA is filed under the name Ictidomys tridecemlineatus (thirteen-lined ground squirrel). Its description in RNAcentral is "Spermophilus tridecemlineatus (thirteen-lined ground squirrel) tRNA". It matches the Rfam family "tRNA". From Rfam's summary of the family: Transfer RNA (tRNA) molecules are approximately 80 nucleotides in length. Their secondary structure includes four short double-helical elements and three loops (D, anti-codon, and T loops). Further hydrogen bonds mediate the characteristic L-shaped molecular structure. tRNAs have two regions of fundamental functional importance: the anti-codon, which is responsible for specific mRNA codon recognition, and the 3' end, to which the tRNAs corresponding amino acid is attached (by aminoacyl-tRNA synthetases). tRNAs cope with the degeneracy of the genetic code in two manners: having more than one tRNA (with a specific anti-codon) for a particular amino acid; and 'wobble' base-pairing, i.e. permitting non-standard base-pairing at the 3rd anti-codon position. The record is from Rfam by way of RNAcentral. Lineage: Eukaryota; Metazoa; Chordata; Mammalia; Rodentia; Sciuridae.
GGGAUUGUGGCUCAGCGGUAGAGCACUCACCUAGCAUGAGAAGGGCCCUGGGUUCGAUCCUCAGCACCA